GCCCGGGUGGCGGAAUGGUAGACGCGCGACACUUAAAAUGUCGUGUCCCAUAGUGGACGUGUCGGUUCGACUCCGACCCUGGGCA
This 85-nucleotide transfer RNA is filed under the name bacterium. RNAcentral's name for it is "tRNA-Leu". It matches the Rfam family "tRNA". Rfam says of the family: Transfer RNA (tRNA) molecules are approximately 80 nucleotides in length. The record is from RNAcentral.